GUGCCAGCCGCCGCGGUAAUACAGAGGGUGCGAGCGUUAAUCGGAGUUACUGGGCGUAAAGGGCGCGUAGGCGGUAAGAUGUGUGUGGUGUGAAAGCCCCGGGCUUAACCUGGGAAGUGCAUCGCAAACUAUCUAACUAGAGUAUAUGAGAGGGCGGCGGAAUUUCCGGUGUAGCGGUGAAAUGCGUAGAGAUCGGAAGGAACGUCAAUGGCGAAGGCAGCCACCUGGCAUAAUACUGACGCUGAGGCGCGAAAGCGUGGGGAGCGAACAGGAUUAGAUACCCUGGUAGUCCACGCUGUAAACGAUGAGGACUAAAUGUUGGUAGGGGAACCUAUCAGUAUUGAAGCUAACGCGAUAAGUCUUCCGCCUGGGAAGUACGGCCGCAAGGUUGAA
This 393-nucleotide ribosomal RNA is filed under the name uncultured bacterium. RNAcentral's name for it is "bacterial SSU rRNA". It matches the Rfam family "Bacterial small subunit ribosomal RNA", at positions 505 to 898 of the family's 1533-position model. The record is from RNAcentral.